RNAcentral lists this transfer RNA (59 nucleotides) under Neotoma lepida (desert woodrat). It matches the Rfam family "tRNA", at positions 7 to 64 of the family's 71-position model. Rfam says of the family: Transfer RNA (tRNA) molecules are approximately 80 nucleotides in length. Their secondary structure includes four short double-helical elements and three loops (D, anti-codon, and T loops). The record is from Rfam by way of RNAcentral. Lineage: Eukaryota; Metazoa; Chordata; Mammalia; Rodentia; Cricetidae.
AUGGCUCANUGGUAGAGUAUUUGACUAGCAUUCAUGAGGCCCUGGGUUCAAUCCCCAGU